Molecule: non-coding RNA, 45 nt
Filed under: Schistosoma mansoni
Lineage: Eukaryota; Metazoa; Platyhelminthes; Trematoda; Strigeidida; Schistosomatidae
Source: RNAcentral
AUACAGCUAACGAGUCCCAAAUAGGACGAAAUGCGUGUCCUGGAU